RNAcentral lists this ribosomal RNA (496 nucleotides) under uncultured bacterium. RNAcentral's name for it is "SSU rRNA". It matches the Rfam family "Bacterial small subunit ribosomal RNA", at positions 26 to 521 of the family's 1533-position model. The record is from RNAcentral.
AGGACGAACGCUGGCGGCGUGCUUAACACAUGCAAGUGGAGCGACGAACCAGGGCUUGCCCUGGGGCAGAGCCGCGAACGGGUGAGUAACACGUGGGUUACCUGCCUCGAUGACCGGGACAACCCGAGGAAACUCGGGCUAAUACCGGAUGUGCCCGCAAGGGGAAAGGAAGCUUCGGCCUCCGCAUUGAGAUGGGCCCGCGGCCCAUUAGCUUGUUGGUGAGGUAACGGCUCACCAAAGGCUUCGAUGGGUAGCUGGUCUGAGAGGACGAUCAGCCACACUGGGACUGAGACACGGCCCAGACUCCUACGGGAGGCAGCAGUGGGGAAUCUUGCGCAAUGCGCGAAAAGCGUGACGCAGCAACGCCGCGUGGGGGAAGAAGGCUUUCGGGUUGUAAACCCUUUCAGUUGGGACGAAGCUUCUCCGGUGAAUAGCCGGAUGGAGUGACGGUACCUUCACAAGAAGCACCGGCUAACUACGCGCCAGCAGCCGCGGU